UUUUUUAUUUUGUAUUUUAAUAAUUAAGUAGAAAUAUACAUUCGUUUUUUAAUCAUUUGUAAUUUGGAUACUAUUUUAGUUUUAUAUAAUGUAAUAAAUAUUUAAAAAUAAUAUAAAAUUAUGUACUUAAGAUAUAUAUGUUAUUAUCUAUAGUAUAAAAAAUAAUAGUUAAAUAUUUAUAACACACUAUAACAGAAUUAGAUUAUAGGGACACAUUUUUUGGACACUUUUGUGUAAGUGUCCCAUUCAUGCCAAUUUUUUUUAAAAAAUCUAUUAAGGCCUAAAUAUAAAACCUAAUCCAAUCAAAAAUAAAAAAUUAAUUUACUCAAUCAACUCCAUCCAGCCCACUCGGCCCGAUUACAAAUAGAAAAGAAAAAAAAAAAAGAAAAAUUGAUCACCAUCUCCUUUUCUCCUCUUCCGCCGCUGCAGCUGACGAGAUACGGUUCCGGCGGUUGGAAUUCGGCCGCGAGGAUCUCGCAGAAAUCGUAGAGGGUUACGAUCGCCAUGUGUCCCUCCGCCACAGGUCGUUGGAGGAGUGGGUGUCAAACAUCAAAGCGACCUUACAUUAGCAACCCCACAUAUAGCAACACUUUUAAAAAGUGUCGGUAAUUUAGCCAGUAGCACUUUUUUUAACUUAUACCGACAUUUAAAAGUAUCACGUACUAUACACCGUUUUUGUUGUAGUGACAUUAUACUGAUAUGAUUGCAUUAGUGACUUAUGACUCGACAAUAUUUUUCGGUCAUAAAUAAUUCCAUGUUUC
This 761-nucleotide long non-coding RNA is filed under the name Ananas comosus (pineapple). RNAcentral's name for it is "long non-coding RNA (ACOM_LNC024143)". The record is from RNAcentral. Lineage: Eukaryota; Viridiplantae; Streptophyta; Magnoliopsida; Poales; Bromeliaceae.